RNAcentral lists this long non-coding RNA (7652 nucleotides) under Lactuca sativa (garden lettuce). RNAcentral's name for it is "long non-coding RNA (LSAT_LNC005738)". The record is from RNAcentral. Lineage: Eukaryota; Viridiplantae; Streptophyta; Magnoliopsida; Asterales; Asteraceae.
ACUCGGCGAGUCGGAUCAUGUAACGCCCGGGUUUCAGGGCUAAGCAUUUUUGUCAAUGUAAUAGUCUAGGUCAACUCUUGUAACUCUUUUUGAAGUAAUAAAGAUGAAAUAUUUGAGUAUUAUGUGAAUUAUAUGUGUUUAUUAUUUAAUUAUAAAUGUAUAAUUAAUAAAGAAUAAAAAUGAGCGUCAAAAUUAAAGUGUGAGAUAAUCCCGAUAUCUCUACAUAAAGUUGUAGAAUAUGUCUCAAGGUUUCCGUGCAUAUAAGGAACGCCGAAAUCCGAGUUAUAACGAAGAAGUUAUGACCCGUCGAAGUUUCACGACAGAACCGGCACGAUACCGGGAAGCGUGAAUAGUGAAUUUACGAUAGAGCGAGAUUUAGCCUUAGUGAUCUAAACGAAAGUCGUAGAAUAUGUUAAACUAAGAACAUCGAUAAAAAGAACGCCCAAAUCUGACUUCGUAUGAAGAAGUUAUGAGAUUUUAAACAGACCAAUCCUGUCCCGGCUUGUUAAAAAUAUAACUUUAAAAAUAAAGUCAAAAUUAGCCGACGGAGUCUAAACGAAAGUUGUAGAGUACGUCUUCACCUACGCGUGGAUAUAAAGAACGUCAAAAACGGAGUUCGUAUGAACGAGUUACAAAUUAUAAUAGCAUAUUUACGUAUUAAAAUAAAGUAUAAAUCAUGUAUACGUACACAUAUAUAUACAUAUGUAUAUAUCAUUAGAAAGGUAUCGACGAUGCGGUCAUUAUAAGACUAAUGUUGAGUUCUUUCGACAUUAGUUUAGUACAAAUAUCAUUAAAUCCAUUUAUAAUAGUAUUAUAGAGGGGUGUUUAGUUGUUUAUAUAACUAAAAGGUCAUUAAGUAAUUAUGGAGGGUAGUUUUUGAAAAUUCAAUUAGUAUAAAUAAGAGCCUUGGGCUCUCAUAUUUCUUGCACCAUUCUCUUGAUUCAAGAGUCUUUCUCUCCUUAUCCCCCGAGCAUUUCGGUCCCUCGUGAUUCGACUUCUCUUUCUGUAGCUUAGUAUAGUAAGGUGAGCGCUGAAGCGCUGCACGAAUCUUUCUUAGAAAGAUUCAGCGACGAAGUUCUGCCCCUGCAGAGCCCGACUCCUAGCUAAAACCCCCUUGUAAGUAAGUUAUGCUUACCUUAUUUUAAUAUAGCUUAUAUUUAAAAUUAGUAUUGUUAUUAUGAACUUAUAAUAAAUAUUUGAGCUAUUAUUAUAACUUAUAUAAGUGUCGUUAUAAAUUUUUUUUUAACUACUCGCGGUACGGGGAAUCUGGUUUAAAGGGCCGCAUAGGGUUGUUGGAUUUCAGAAGUGCUAUAUGCCAAAAUGGUCCUGCCCUCCGGUGUUUUAUGUCUGGCCCCUGUCUGUACAUAGUGGUUGGAAAAUAUUGUUUAACGCUUAUAUAAUAAUAAUAAUACUAAGACUAAUAGUUGGUCACGGUAAAUAUUAGACUAAAAUUUAGCGAUAAUAAUGCUAGGUUUCGUCGAAGGAAAAUAGAAUCGUUAGAAGCAAGCGCUGCCCGAUUUUGGAAUCAUCACCUUAACAAGUGAGUGCAUAGUUACUUUCAACUUACACAUAGAUAUGAAGUAUUUUAUAUAAAUUACGUGCUAUGUGUGCAUAUUAUCUGAAUACUUGCUAUCUAUGCUAGAUGAACGUUGUUAUACAUGUUUUCAAUGAUUUAAACUGUAUAUGUAUUUUAUAUCUACGAAAAUGUUGGGGUAAAACAUGGGUAGAUGCAAUAGGUGAUGUGUGAUAAAAUGAUGAGAGGCCUCGAUGUUGAUGUUGUUGAUUCUGUCAUCUAGCGGAGUAUGGAUGACGACCACGGACUCUUCUAGACAGUCCAGUGGAACACUAGCAGGCUCGCAACCUGUAGGUGUUUGUGAACGAUAUGUUCACCGGUGUACUCCAUCCCCCACAUGGUUGCCUUUAGGACAUUUAUUGCUGAGGAAUCCCCUUAGCAGUAGUGUCCGUCCCGAUGAUGAUCCUUAGGCUAGGUCCCUUAUGAUAGGUGUUUAGGGACGUAAAGUGAGGAUAACGGGAACGGGUAAUCGGGUUAUUGUUGAUCGAUGAAAUUAAUAAACUUAUUUAUUGUGGGUUGAAAACCCUAUGUGCUCACCAGGCUCCCAAGCCUGACCCACUCAGUUUUAUGUAUUACAGGUAGUGGCGCAUGAGCAUAGGUGUGAUGUUUUGGACGAGGGAUUACGGAUAUAGGCCUGUAGAUAUGAAAUAAUGUAGUAAGGCUUAUAUUGUACUGUUUAUGCUUUUGAUCUGUACGAACAUGACAUCCCGAGUCUUUUAAUGAAAUACAUUUCUAUGGAAAUGCUUUUGAUAAAUCUUUAUCAUAUUUUUGUUUUGGGACAAAUUCCGCAACACUUUCAUUUAAAAUGUAACUCUGAUUUUUAAACAAAGCAUAAACAAACCGGUCUUUUCUGGCCGUGAUUUUGGGGAUGUCACAGUUGGUAUCAGAGCAUUAGUUUAAGCGAACUAGGAAUUUGUAGGAUUUCUAGACUUAAACUUAGAAUGCUAAGCGAUGAUUGUGAGGUGUGAGCACUAGCUUAUUUUAGGAAUUGUGCCUAAAAUGCUUUUAUGUGCUAAAUGCUUUGUGCAUAAUAUGCUGUUAAUUGUUCGGAUCUAUGGUCUGUUGCCGACCGGAUCUGGAAACCUUAUGUGUUUAGGAUUCUAAACGUACGACUACGAUAUUAGAACUAGCAUGUAAACGUUUCGGAGUGAUAAGGACGAUUUAAAACGUCUAUCCUAAAUAAAGAUCUAAAUUCACCUUAUUCGGUGUAUAGAUCAAGAUGGCAAGGACCCGUAGCGGAAACGUGAACGCAAAUGGAGGUAGGAACCAACCCCCAGUGGUUCAGCAAAUACCUGUUGUUGAAGAAGUUGCACCUGAGCCAGUCACCAUGGCUGGAGUUCAAGCCAUGAUUCAGGCUAUGCUAGCUGAACAAAGGGAAGAAAUGAGACGGAUGCUCCACGAAAAUAGGGACGAACCUACCAUACAUGUUGAACCGACGGAGCCAGUUCCCGAGCCAUCUGAGGAAGGGAACUAUAGCCGCCAAGUGAGUCAAGUAGGGACUCAAGGUGAGCAAAAGGAUGGCCCAGAAGGGAGAAACAACAAGGAUGGGCGGAUGUACAAAAAUUUCUUGGGUGCGAAACCACCAAGUCUCUCAGGAAGCCCAAAGCCUGUUGAGAUUAUGGACUGGAUCUCCGAGAUGGAGAUGGUGUUUGAGAGCUGCGACUGCAGCGAGAAGCAGAAGACUGUCUUCGCUGUGAGACAAUUGAAAACUGGAGUCUUGAGCUGGUGGAAGCUAUUGGCAGAUACAAUGCCACGGGGAGAAGCUCUGAAAAUGUCAUGGGAUGAGUUCUUGGAACAACUGAAGGCGCAGUACUGUUCAGAGAUAGACCUGAUUGAUCUGAACAAUGAGUUCCAAAAUUUGAAGAAGGGGAGAAUGAGCAUCGAUGACUAUGCUGCUGCAUUUACGGAAAAGAUGAAGUUGUUUCCAUACCUAGUGCCAACCGAACUUUCCAAAAUUGAGAAAUUCGCAAACGGACUGCCGGCUGACUUUGGCCCAACAGUCAAGAUGGCAACCACUCUGAAAUCAGCUGUUCGAGCAGCUAAGAACGUGGAGACCCAACAAAAGGAAAGAGGUCUGGAGAGGGCUGAGGUUGGUGAGAAACGGAAGUUCAAUGGAUCCUCGAAGUCCAACAAGAAGAGUAGAUUCUCGAAGUCUGGUUCGAGGGGAGGAGGAUCAGAAGCGAAGUGGUGUGACAAGUGCAAGAAGAAGCACUCUGGGAAGUGUGACGGAGGGGUCACUUGUUACAAGUGCGGAAAGCCUGGGCACUACGCCAAUGAAUGCACCCUCAACCAGAAAGCCUGUUAUGGGUGCAAUGAAGAAGGGCACAUUUUGAAGGACUGCCCGAAGAAGAAGGAGACAGGAAGACCCAACAUACCACCGAAGCCGAAGGCGAGAGCCUUCCAGAUGACGCUCGAGGCUGCAAAGGAGGCAGCAGACGUCGCUUCAGGUACCUUUCUUGUAAAUGGUUUGCCUGCAAAUAUACUAUUUGAUUCCGGAGCCAACUACUCCUUUGUGUCGCAUAAAUUUGGUGGGAAAUUAGCAUUGCCUGUAGAAAAACUAGAUAAUGCCCUGAUUGUAGAAGUUGCCAGUGGCAAAUUCGUACCUGUUAGUAAUCGUAUUAGGAACAUCGUCAUUGACCUAAACGGAAACGAAUUCCACGAAGAGCUAUUACCCAUAGAGUUAAACGGUUUCGACAUCGUUUUGGGUAUGGAUUGGCUUAGCGCCAACGAUGCUGAGAUUCAAUGCCGAAAGAAGAUAGUAAAGGUAAACCCACCCGGAAAAGAAUCAUUUAUGGUGUAUGGGGACAAACGCAGAGUGAAUUCUGGAAUCAUCUCCCUGAUGAAAGCCAGGAAAUGUUUGUCCAAAGGAUGUGCAUCAUACUUGGCAUUCGUAAUCGAUGCCAAGAAGGAGAAGAAAGAGGUGCAGAAUAUACCGGUUGUGUGUGAUUAUCCGGAAGUCUUUCCCGAAGAUCUUCCCGGAUUACCACCUGAUAGGCAAGUGGAGUUUCGUAUAGACUUGUUACCAGGAACAACACCGAUAGCAAAGGCACCUUACCGAUUAGCACCGACGGAGAUGAAGGAGCUCAUGACGCAACUUCAGGAGCUGUUGGACAACGGUUUUAUUCGACCUAGUUCAUCACCCUGGGGAGCUCCGGUGUUAUUCGUGAAGAAGAAGGACGGAAGUAUGAGAAUGUGUAUAGACUACCGAGAGCUGAAUAAGGCAACGGUGAAGAACAAGUAUCCAUUGCCGAGGAUUGAUGACCUAUUCGAUCAGCUGCAAGGUUCGAGCUACUUCUCAAAGAUCGAUCUUAGGUCAGGAUAUCAUCAGCUAAAGGUGAGAAAGCAGGAUAUUGAGAAGACUGCAUUCAGAACGAGAUAUGGACACUACGAGUUCUUGGUUAUGUCAUUCGGGCUAACCAAUGCUCCCGCAGCAUUCAUGGAUUUGAUGAAUAGGGUUUGUAAACCAUUCCUCGAUAAAUCCGUGAUAGUGUUCAUCGACGACAUUCUCAUCUACUCGAAAAGCCAAGAGGAGCAUGGCAAGCAUCUACGGGAAGUAUUAGAAGUGUUGAAGAAGGAGAAGCUUUUUGCAAAGUUCUCCAAAUGCGACUUUUGGAUACGGGAAGUCCAAUUCUUGGGUCAUGUUGUUAACCAGGAGGGAAUAAUGGUUGACCCCGCAAAGAUCGAGGCUGUAAUGAAGUGGGAACGUCCAAAGAGUCCCACGGAGAUUCGAAGCUUUCUAGGAUUAGCCGGAUAUUAUCGACGAUUUAUCCAAGGCUUUUCUUCGAUAGCUGCUCCAUUAACAGCUUUGACUCAUAAAGGAGCUACGUAUACGUGGAGUGAGAAACACGAUGAGGCAUUCGAGAAGCUAAAGAAGAAGUUAUGUGAAGCACCGAUACUUUCUCUACCCGAUGGAGUCGAAGAUUUCGCGGUUUAUAGUGACGCUUCUGGAGUCGGGUUGGGUUGUGUUCUGACCCAAAGAGAAAAGGUGAUAGCAUACGCAUCUCGACAAUUGAAAGAGCACGAAAAGAACUACCCCACUCAUGAUCUGGAGUUGGCAGCGGUAGUUUUUGCCUUAAAGAUAUGGAGGCAUUACCUCUACGGCACGAAGUGCAAGCUCUUCACUGAUCAUAAGAGUCUCCAGUAUCUCUUUAAUCAGAAGGAGUUGAACAUGAGGCAACGACGCUGGCUAGAACUUCUCAAGGACUACGACUGUGAGAUACUUUACCACCCAGGUAAAGCAAAUAUUGUUGCUGAUGCUCUCAGUCGGAAAGUCAAUCUGGAAAGGAAAAGGCCAAGAGCGUUAAGAAUUGAAGUCGUCUCGACGAUUGUGGAAAGUAUCAGGAAAGCUCAAGAAGAAGCUUUAGAGAAAAAUGACCGAAAGGAAGAACGUUUGGGAAGAACGUUAGUGUUCGGUACAAACAGUCGAGGACUGAAGGUAUUCCAAGAUCGAAUUUGGGUACCUAAGACGGGAGGAAUAAGAGAUCUUCUGAUGGAAGAAGCACACAAGACCAUGUACUCGAUUCAUCCCGGUAGCACUAAAAUGUAUAGGGACCUAAAACCCUACUACUGGUGGCCGACGAUGAAGCUCGAUGUUGCGAAGUAUGUGGCCGAGUGCGUAACAUGUGCGAGGGUUAAGGCACAACAUCAGAAACCGUAUGGGAGUUUAGAACCUUUACCUGUACCCAUGGGUAAAUGGGAAGACAUCACCAUGGAUUUUGUGACUAAACUGCCCAGGACGAAGAACGGUCACGACAUGAUUUGGGUAGUCGUGGAUCGUUUCACCAAGAGUGCACACUUCAUAGCAGCCAACGAGAAGUGGUCUAUGGAUAAGCUCGCAAAUGCUUACGUGAAGGAAAUUGUAAGACUUCACGGUGUCCCUCUUACGAUUGUAUCAGAUCGUGAUAGUCGUUUCACGUCAAGGUUUUGGAGGAGUCUACAAGAGGAGUUAGGUACAAAGUUGUGUUUGAGUACUGCUUAUCAUCCGCAAACUGAUGGUCAGAGCGAAAGAACGAUUCAGACGCUGGAAGAUAUGCUGAGAGCAUGUACCCUCGAAUUCCAAGGGAAUUGGGACGAGCACUUACCUCUGGUAGAAUUUUCCUACAACAAUAGUUUUCACUCGAGCAUCAAGAUGGCUCCUUAUCAAGCCUUGUAUGGGCAGAAGUGUCGUACGCCGUCUUGUUGGCUUGAAGCCGGAGAGAAGCAGUUUAUGGGCCCCGAGAUAGUCCAUGAGACUGCUGAGAAGUUGAAGGUGAUUAGGGAAAGGAUGUUAGCAGCCCAGGAUCGUCAGAAGAGCUAUGCUGACAAGAAAAGACGACCGAUAACUUUCGAAGUUGGGGAUUCCGUUUUGCUUAAAGUCUCACCGUGGAAGGGACUUAUACGAUUUGGGAAACGAGGAAAGUUGAGUCCAAGGUUUAUUGGACCGUUCAAAGUUCUUCAGAAGAUAGGGAACCAAGCUUACAAGCUGGAAUUGCCCGAAGAACUCAAUGGUAUUCAUAACACCUUCCAUGUGUGUUAUUUGAGGAAAUUCACGGGAGAUGUUCCCGACAUAAUUCCAAUCUCAGAGUUAAGGAUGGAUGAAAAUAAAAGGUUGAUCGAAGAGCCUGAGGCAAUUGUUGACCGUAAGACUAAGAAGUUACGACGCAAGAUGGUCGACUUGGUGCUAGUCCGAUGGAAACAUUCGAAUGGGCCGAAUCUCACUUGGGAAACAGAGGAUGACAUGAUGAGUCGCUAUCCACAUCUGUUUGCUGAUGCAUGAUUCCGGGACGGAAUCAUCCUAAGGGGGAGAGAAUUGUAACGCCCGGGUUUCAGGGCUAAGCAUUUUUGUCAAUGUAAUAGUCUAGGUCAACUCUUGUAACUCUUUUUGAAGUAAUAAAGAUGAAAUAUUUGAGUAUUAUGUGAAUUAUAUGUGUUUAUUAUUUAAUUAUAAAUGUAUAAUUAAUAAAGAAUAAAAAUGAGCGUCAAAAUUAAAGUGUGAGAUAAUCCCGAUAUCUCUACAUAAAGUUGUAGAAUAUGUCUCAAGGUUUCCGUGCAUAUAAGGAACGCCGAAAUCCGAGUUAUAACGAAGAAGUUAUGACCCGUC